RNAcentral lists this ribosomal RNA (484 nucleotides) under uncultured bacterium. RNAcentral describes it as "partial 16S ribosomal RNA". It matches the Rfam family "Bacterial small subunit ribosomal RNA", at positions 28 to 507 of the family's 1533-position model. The record is from RNAcentral.
GUUGAACGCUGGCGGCAGGCCUAACACAUGCAAGUCGAGCGGAUGAAGGGAGCUUGCUCCUGGAUUCAGCGGCGGACGGGUGAGUAAUGCCUAGGAAUCUGCCUGGUAGUGGGGGAUAACGUCCGGAAACGGGCGCUAAUACCGCAUACGUCCUGAGGGAGAAAGUGGGGGAUCUUCGGACCUCACGCUAUCAUAUGAGCCUAGGUCGGAUUAGCUAGUUGGUGGGGUAAAGGCCUACCAAGGCGACGAUCCGUAACUGGUCUGAGAGGAUGAUCAGUCACACUGGAACUGAGACACGGUCCAGACGCCUACGGGAGGCAGCAGUGGGGAAUAUUGGACAAUGGGCGAAAGCAUGAUCCAGCCAUGCCGCGUGUGUGAAGAAGGUCUUCGGAUUGUAAAGCACUUUAAGUUGGGAGGAAGGGAAGUAAGUUAAUACCUUGCUGUUUUGACGUUAACAACAGAAUAAGCACCGGCUAACUUCGUG